GACGAACGCUGGCGGCGUGCUUAACACAUGCAAGUCGAGCGGUAAGGCCCUUUCGGGGGUACACGAGCGGCGAACGGGUGAGUAACACGUGGGUGACCUGCCCUUAGCUCUGGGAUAAGCCUGGGAAACUGGGUCUAAUACCGGAUAUGACUCCAUGACGCAUGUUGUGGGGUGGAAAGCCUUGUGCGGCUAGGGAUGGGCCCGCGGCCUAUCAGCUUGUUGGUGGGGUGAUGGCCUACCAAGGCGACGACGGGUAGCCGGCCUGAGAGGGCGUCCGGCCACACUGGGACUGAGACACGGCCCAGACUCCUACGGGAGGCAGCAGUGGGGAAUCUUGCGCAAUGGGCGAAGGCCUGACGCAGCGACGCCGCGUGGGGAUGACGGCCUC
Molecule: ribosomal RNA, 388 nt
Filed under: uncultured bacterium
Lineage: Bacteria
Description: bacterial SSU rRNA
Rfam family: Bacterial small subunit ribosomal RNA
Source: RNAcentral